This 440-nucleotide ribosomal RNA is filed under the name uncultured bacterium. RNAcentral's name for it is "partial 16S ribosomal RNA". It matches the Rfam family "Bacterial small subunit ribosomal RNA", at positions 338 to 795 of the family's 1533-position model. The record is from RNAcentral.
CCUACGGGAGGCAGCAGUAGGGAAUAUUGCUCAAUGGGGGAAACCCUGAAGCAGCAACGCCGCGUGGAGGAUGAAGGUUUUAGGAUUGUAAACUCCUUUUUUUAGAGAAGUUUAUGACGAUAUCUAACGAAUAAUCAACGGCUAAAUCCGUGCCAGCAGCCGUGGGAAUACGGAGGGUGCCAGCGUUACUCGGAAUGUUUGGGCGUAAAGAGUGCGUGUGCGGGUUAAUGAGUCAGAUGUGAAAGCCUGUAGUUUAAAUACAGAACUGCAUUUGAAACUGUUACUCUGGAGUGUGUUAGAGGUAGGUGGAAUGCAUGGUGUAGGGGUGAAAUGCGUAGAGAGCAAGAGGAAUACUGAUUGCGAAGGCGGCCUACUGGAACAUUACUGACGCUGAUGCACGAAAGCGUGGGGAGCAAACAGGAUUAGAUACCCGGGUAGUC